GACGAACGCUGGCGGCGUGCCUAAUACAUGCAAGUAGAACGCACAGUUUAUACCGUAGCUUGCUACACCAUAGACUGUGAGUUGCGAACGGGUUAGUAACGCGUAGGUAACCUGCCUGGCAGCGGGGGAAAACUAGUGGAAACGAUAGCUAAUACCGCAUAAUAUUAAUUAGUGCAUGAAAAUUAAUGGAAAGGUGCAAUUGAACCACGACCAGAUGGACCUGCGUUGUAUUAGCUAGUAGGUGAGGUAACGGCUCACCUAGGCGGCGAUACAUAGCCGACAUGGGAUGGUGCUCGGCCGCACUGCGAGUGUGACCCGGCCCAGACUCCUUCGGGAGGCAGCAGUAGCGCAUCUUCAGCAAUGGAUGAAAGUCUGACCAAACUCCGCCGCGUGCGUAGAGAAGGUUGCCGGAUCGUAAAGCUCUGUUGUAAGAUAAGAACGGGUGUGAGCGUGGAAAGUUCACACUGUGACGGUAUCUUAUCAGAAAGGGCCGGCUAACUACGUG
Molecule: ribosomal RNA, 505 nt
Filed under: uncultured bacterium
Lineage: Bacteria
Description: partial 16S ribosomal RNA
Rfam family: Bacterial small subunit ribosomal RNA
Source: RNAcentral